AGUUGACCUAACAGUAAACCUUCGGCUCCAAACUCCGGGCCCAGAAAGGCGGGGAGGCCGCCCGGAGCCCGGCCCCCAGAGCCGCGGGGCGCACGGGCUCAAGUCACAGCGUUUGAUCCGCACGCUCAGGACUGGGGAUUAAACCGCAGGUUCCGUUAUGGGUCGACUUGAUGGGAAGGUCAUCGUCCUGACAGCUGCUGCUCAGGGGAUCGGCUGGGCCACUGCCAUAGCUUUUGCAAGAGAAGGUGCCAAAGUCAUAGCCACAGAUAUCAAUGAGUCCAAACUUCAAGAACUGGAAAAGUACCCGGGUAUUCAGACUCGAGUCCUGGAUGU
Equus quagga is the source of this 333-nucleotide long non-coding RNA. RefSeq lists it as uncharacterized. The record is from RefSeq and is a predicted model, not a curated record. Lineage: Eukaryota; Metazoa; Chordata; Mammalia; Perissodactyla; Equidae. The transcript has 4 exons.